UUGGUUGAUCCUGCCAGUAGUGUAUGCUUCUCCUAAAGACUAAGCCAUGCAUGCCCUGAAUAAGAGGAAGCAAUUCUCUCUGAAUCUGCGAACGGCUCCGCAAACCAGUUGUAAACUAGAGCAAGCAAGCCUGGCGGGCUUCGGCCUCCAGGUGAUAUGGAUAACCCUGGUAAUUCUGAGGCUAAUACAUGACCGCAAAACCGGGCAGCCCAGCAAUGGAUGCUCGGGGAUGUGCGAUAUGGCUUGACAAUAACCGGGAAAGGACGCACACUCAGACCGCGCUAAAAAGGAUCGGGACUCUCUUCGGAGAACCUGGCCCCUGCGGCUCUUGCUGUGUGCUUCUGACCUAUCAACUAGACGGCAGCGUAAUGGACAUGCUAUGGUGACAACGGGUACAGAGGAUUAGGGUUCGAUCCUGGAGAGUGGGCCUGAGAGAUUGCUCAUACUUCUAAGGAAGGCAG
Molecule: ribosomal RNA, 461 nt
Filed under: Lamproderma pulveratum
Lineage: Eukaryota; Evosea; Eumycetozoa; Stemonitida; Stemonitidae
Description: SSU rRNA
Rfam family: Eukaryotic small subunit ribosomal RNA
Source: RNAcentral